Molecule: long non-coding RNA, 294 nt
Filed under: Sparus aurata (gilthead seabream)
Lineage: Eukaryota; Metazoa; Chordata; Actinopteri; Spariformes; Sparidae
Description: lncRNA (ENSSAUG00010018011.1)
Source: RNAcentral
AUGUGUGUGUAUGUGUUUGAGCAGGGACUUGACUUGACUAAGCCAAACUGGACGCUGCGCGUGGUCAGCGACAAGGGCAAAGCAGAGAGCAUCAAGGUGACAGACACCGAGAGAAUGGACCAAAUUAAAGCGUUUAAGAAAGCCUGGGAAAUGGCUGAAGCAGGCCGAUGUAACAAGGCUUUACAGUCUCGUCUCAAGUUUCUUAACCAAGUCCAACACGGAGCAAGUGAUGACUCUACCACAGACGGCGCAGAAAGCAGAGAGCUCGUCCCCCUAAUCAGAAACUGACAGAUA